UCGGAUCAGGAUUGCCCUAGUAACGGCGAGUGAAGCGGCAACAGCUCAAAUUUGAAAUCUGGCCCUCUCAGGGUCCGAGUUGUAAUUUGCAGAGGGUGCUUUGGUGUUGGCUGUGGUCUAAGUUCCUUGGAACAGGACGUCACAGAGGGUGAGAAUCCCGUACGUGGCCGCCAGCCUCCACCGUGUAAAGCCCCUUCGACGAGUCGAGUUGUUUGGGAAUGCAGCUCUAAAUGGGAGGUAAAUUCCUUCUAAAGCUAAAUACUGGCCAGAGACCGAUAGCGCACAAGUAGAGUGAUCGAAAGAUGAAAAGCACUUUGGAAAGAGAGUCAAAAAGCACGUGAAAUUGUUGAAAGGGAAGCGCUUGCAGCCAGACUUGCCUGUAGUUGCUCACCUUGGCUUCUGCCUUGGGUACUCUUCUACGGGCAGGCCAGCAUCAGUCCGGGCGGUUGGAUAAAUGCUCGCGGAA
Molecule: ribosomal RNA, 466 nt
Filed under: Westerdykella sp. WQ63
Lineage: Eukaryota; Fungi; Ascomycota; Dothideomycetes; Pleosporales; Sporormiaceae
Description: eukaryotic LSU rRNA
Rfam family: Eukaryotic large subunit ribosomal RNA
Source: RNAcentral